CUAAAAUAAUCCCGAGAUCCGUUCAGCGGAUGUCGAACGCAAGUGAGAAAACCGCUUUUAAUCGUGUUUGAUCGGUUUUUAUUGAGGGGUCGAUUUUUAAUCUAUCGAUAUCUUAACCAAAAUUAAUUAAAAGAGUCAUAGAGAAGAUGUGUCGUCUGCUCUCGCUUUGUUAACACGUUUCGAAAAAGUGGCGAGGUGAUUAGUGAUUAGUCAUUAGUGAAUGAUAUUGAUAACUAUAGUGGACAAACUUAUCAUUUUUUUUUAAACGUGGCUGCACGAAAAGAAGCACAAAAAAUAGAAUGACAAAAAAUUUGGUCGUCGUGUGAACAAGGUAACUCUUUAUGGAAUCGCUUAACUCACACUCCAUGCAAUGUUAAGCAGAUGCAGAUUUGGAGGCAGCCAUCGCAACCACUAGAUAUGCAAGUUUUUCUGGUGCUGAUACUGACCUGUCACAGCAAAAAUCCAAAUAAACAGCAUCCCAUCUGAUUGAUGGGAGAAACUACCGAUGCCAGCCGAGUUACGGAUUACCGUGGAUCUCUUCUUCCCCUUUCUUGAAAUCCUCUCUGUCCUCGUGUACGCCCAUGUGAAUGUGGGGGUAUUCACGAGUCUGAGACUCUUUUUCCUAUCCUGCCUGGUGUCUUCCAACUAUUCUGCGGAUGGAGCACUUGCGGAAUGCCUGGCUGUAUUUCCCAGGCAUAAAGAUUUGAGACCAGAGCCAGUCAUCAAAGCAACACAAUAUCCAAAAUUUGCUUGUGCUGUUAUUGCAUAACAACCUGUCAUCAGCAACAAUCUCAGAAUCAUCGUGUGGGUAAUAAUUUGUGUUACUUUUAUUCCUGUGACAGUCUGCUAGAUCUUU
RNAcentral lists this long non-coding RNA (856 nucleotides) under Daphnia pulicaria. Its description in RNAcentral is "uncharacterized LOC124344279, transcript variant X2". The record is from RNAcentral. Lineage: Eukaryota; Metazoa; Arthropoda; Branchiopoda; Diplostraca; Daphniidae.